GCCUGGAUAGCUCAGUUGGUACAGCACGAGACUCUUAAUCUCAGGAUCCUGGGUUUGAGCCCUAUGCUGGUCA
This is a non-coding RNA of Pangasianodon gigas (Mekong giant catfish), 73 nucleotides long. Lineage: Eukaryota; Metazoa; Chordata; Actinopteri; Siluriformes; Pangasiidae. The record is from the annotation of a GenBank genome assembly.